RNAcentral lists this ribosomal RNA (475 nucleotides) under uncultured bacterium. RNAcentral describes it as "bacterial SSU rRNA". It matches the Rfam family "Bacterial small subunit ribosomal RNA", at positions 28 to 518 of the family's 1533-position model. The record is from RNAcentral.
GAUGAACGCUGGCGGCGUGCAUAACACAUUCAAGUCGAACGGACAAAUGUCUUCGGACAUUUGUUAGUGGCGGACGGGUGAGUAACGCGUGAGCAACCUACCUUUGAUUGGGGGAUAACACAGGGAAACUUGUGCUAAUACCGCAUGACACAUACUGACCGCAUGAUUGGUAUGUCAAAGAAGCAAUUUGAUCAAAGAUGGGCUCGCGUCCGAUUAGAUAGUUGGUGGGUAACGGCCUACCAAGUCGACGAUCGGUAGCCGGACUGAGAGGUUGAACGGCCACAUUGGAACUGAGAAACGGUCCAGACUCCUACGGGAGGCAGCAGUGGGGAAUAUUGGGCAAAUGGGCGAAAGCCUGACCCAGCGACGCCGCGUGAGGGAAGAAGGUCUUCGGAUUGUAAACCUAAUAACAGGGAAGAAGAAAGUAGACGGUACCUGUGGAAAAGCCAACGGCUAACUACGUGCCAGCAGCCGC